UGCGUAGGCGGUUGGUUAAGUCUGCUGUGAAAGCCCUGGGCUCAACCUGGGAACUGCAGUGGAAACUGGCCAGCUAGAGUGUGUCAGAGGAUGGUGGAAUUCCCGGUGUAGCGGUGAAAUGCGUAGAGAUCGGGAGGAACACCAGUGGCGAAGGCGGCCAUCUGGGACAACACUGACGCUGAGGCACGAAAGCGUGGGGAGCAAACAGGAUUAGAUACCCUGGUAGUCCACGCCCUAAACGAUGCGAACUGGACGUUGGGCACACUUAGGUGCUCAGUGUCGAAGCUAACGCGUUAAGUUCGCCGCCUGGGGAGUACGGUCGCAAGACUGAA
Molecule: ribosomal RNA, 332 nt
Filed under: uncultured Dokdonella sp.
Lineage: Bacteria; Pseudomonadati; Pseudomonadota; Gammaproteobacteria; Lysobacterales; Rhodanobacteraceae
Description: bacterial SSU rRNA
Rfam family: Bacterial small subunit ribosomal RNA
Source: RNAcentral